CCUACGGGAGGCUGCAGUAGGGAAUCUUUCACAAUGGGCGAAAGCCUGAUGGAGCAACGCCGCGUGCAGGAUGAAGGCCUUCGGGUUGUAAACUGCUUUUAUAAGCGAGAAAUAUGAUGGUAACUUAUUAAUAAGGAUCGGCUAACUACGUGCCAGCAGCCGCGGUCAUACGUAGGAUCCGAGCAUUAUCCGGAGUGACUGGGUGUAAAGAGUUGCGUAGGUGGCAUAAUAAGUAGCUAGUGAAAUCUGGUGGCUCAACCAUUCAGACUAUUAGCUAAACUGUUAAGCUCGAGACCGUUAGAGGUGAGUGGAAUUUCUAGUGUAGGGGUGAAAUCCGUAGAUAUCAGGAGGAACAUCGGUGGCGUAGGCGCUUUACUGGGCCGUAAUUGACACUGAGGAACGAAAGCCGGGGUAGCAAAUGGGAUUAGAUACCCGUGUAGUC
This 442-nucleotide ribosomal RNA is filed under the name uncultured bacterium. RNAcentral's name for it is "partial 16S ribosomal RNA". It matches the Rfam family "Bacterial small subunit ribosomal RNA", at positions 338 to 795 of the family's 1533-position model. The record is from RNAcentral.